RNAcentral lists this long non-coding RNA (461 nucleotides) under Junco hyemalis (dark-eyed junco). RNAcentral's name for it is "lncRNA (ENSJHYG00000005585.1)". Lineage: Eukaryota; Metazoa; Chordata; Aves; Passeriformes; Passerellidae. The record is from RNAcentral.
UGAGGAUUUACAAAACCACGUCUUACUUUUCUACCCCUUCAUAUUGUUGCAGAAGCUGAAAAAGUAUUUUCUAAUUUCAUUUUCAAUUAUUUUUAGGCUACAAGAGUGACUGAACACAGAUUACCUCCUCCUGGUCCUCCCACAGGCAAUGUACCUCUGGCAAAAAGAGAAUGCACAAAAUUCCUUCACUGUACAGAGAUCUUUGAGUCUGCAAAGUGUCCCUUCUGUAAUUGCCUUGUUCCCUCAGUAGUUGUGGAGGAAUUUCAGCACAAGAAGCUCUGGUGAGGCUUCAGAGGUACUUGGAAAAGUGUUGAUAUUCCCAUACAACACUGAGUACUCAUUGCCAGUGCAUUCCCAUUUCUCAUCAUUCUAAGAAUUUCUGAAAGUCUAGGAAAUUAUCUGUAUGUCAUUGCAGUUUAUUUGGAUAUUUAUCAUUGUAAAGUUUAGGAGAUUAAUUAUUU